This 159-nucleotide unclassified non-coding RNA is filed under the name soil metagenome. Its description in RNAcentral is "partial internal transcribed spacer 1". The record is from RNAcentral.
CAAGAAACGAGGCCGCGUGCGCUCGCCCGCCCGGCCCCAGCUCCUUACCAUUGCCUACUGCACCGUUUGUUGCUUCCUGGCGGCGGACUGCCCGCCGCCAGGGACGUUGAUACAACCCUGUAUAGAAGCAUUGAAGCUCUGAGAAAACGCGAAAUCGUA